This 324-nucleotide ribosomal RNA is filed under the name Triticum aestivum (bread wheat). RNAcentral describes it as "partial small subunit ribosomal RNA". The record is from RNAcentral. Lineage: Eukaryota; Viridiplantae; Streptophyta; Magnoliopsida; Poales; Poaceae.
CUGGAAAUCAAAUCGCCCCGAACCCUAUCCCCCACCCCCCCUUUCCGUUUCUCUCCCACGGCGGCGACCAGCGAGCGAGCGAGGCGGCGGCGACCAGCACAUGCCGCAGCCGAGCAAGAUGACGGCGCAGGCGUCCCCGCGACGGCGACAGCGCACUUCGCUAGCUCCGGCGCGGCGGCGAGCACCCGACGAAUACAAGCGUGCGAGGAGGCAUGGCCAUCGGCCGGUGCGGCGGACGGCGAGUUCGGACCCGAGCUCACUCGCAGAUGUUGGAUGGUGCCCAUGGCCGUGCCGUACGACAACGAUGAGCGCCACAGCCCUGAG